AUGGUAUUGUCUGACUCCGGGGGCCACAAUAUUUGGAUGACACCAAGCAAUAACACUGCUGGAGCGCCAGGAGCUUACGCAGAGCUAAGCAACUCUGGGAACUUUGUUCUCCGGUUGCCAAGUGACACUGACAUAUGGCAGAGUUUUGAUCACCCAACCGACACAAUCCUUGCAGGCAUGAGGUUUUUGGUGAGCCACAAGGCACAGGUCGUCACACGGCUUGUUGCUUGGAAGGGGCCGGAUGAUCCAUCUUCUGGGGACUUCUCAUACAGCGGCGAUCCUAGCGCCCCAGACCUUCAGCUUGUCAUUUGGAACAAAACUAGGCCAUACUGCCGUGCUGUUUGGAACGGUGUGUCAGUGUCCGGUGGCGCAUAUCUAACCAACACCAGCUCCAUCCUUUACCAGAUGAUUGUAAACUCUGGAGACGAGUUCUACUUCACGUACGCAAUCUCCGACAACUCGGUGUACACACGCAUCACGCUUGACUACACUGGUAAAUACAAAUCUCUAGCAUGGAAGAAUCACUCGUCAUCAUGGGCACUCAGCGGUGGAUGGCCCACUGCCGCAUGCGAGCUCUAUGCCUCGUGUGGCCCAUUCAGUUACUGUGACUUGACUCAAACGGUCCCGGCUUGCCAUUGUCUUGAGGGGUUUGAGACUGUCGAUGAUGCAAACUUUUCUAAUGGAUGCCGGAGAAAGCAAGCGUUGAAAUGCGGCAAUCAAAGUCGUUUCAUGGCCUUGCCUGGGAUGAAUGUUCCUGACAAGUUCUUGCAUCUACACAACAGAAGCUUAGAUGAGUGCGAGUCUGAGUGCAGGAGCAACUGCUCAUGCACAGCUUACACUUAUGCUAACUUGAGCAACGGGGCCAUUGCCAUGGCUGACCCGUCAAGGUGCUUGGUUUGGUCAGGGGAGCUUGUCGACAUUGGGAAGGCAACCACAGGCGGUGAGAGCCUGUACUUACGGCUUGCUGAUUCUCCUGUUGACAAGGAGAUCAGUUUAGUAAAGAUUACAAUCCUAAUUACAGCAUGCCUGUUGGUACUAACAUGCCUAGGCCUUGUCUGGAUGUGCAAAUACAGAGGCAAAUUGCGAAAGAAGGAAAAGCAGAAGAGACUGUCGCAUGGAUACUUUAGCACAUUCAACAAUCUCGAAGGCAAACAUACAGAAUUUCCAUUUGUUAGCUAUGGAGACAUCCUUUAA
This 1194-nucleotide ribosomal RNA is filed under the name Triticum aestivum (bread wheat). RNAcentral's name for it is "partial small subunit ribosomal RNA". The record is from RNAcentral. Lineage: Eukaryota; Viridiplantae; Streptophyta; Magnoliopsida; Poales; Poaceae.